Molecule: ribosomal RNA, 301 nt
Filed under: uncultured bacterium
Lineage: Bacteria
Description: partial 16S ribosomal RNA
Rfam family: Bacterial small subunit ribosomal RNA
Source: RNAcentral
CAGCCGCCGCGGUAAUACGUAGGUGGCAAGCGUUGUCCGGAAUUAUUGGGCGUAAAGGGCUCGCAGGCGGUUUCUUAAGUCUGAUGUGAAAGCCCCCGGCUCAACCGGGGAGGGUCAUUGGAAACUGGGAAACUUGAGUGCAAGAGGGGAGAGUGGAAUUCCAUGUGUAGCGGUGAAAUGCGUAGAUAUAUGGAGGAACACCGGUGGCGAAAGCGGCUCUCUGGCUUGUAACUGUCGCUGAGGCUCGAAAGCGUGGGGAGCAAACAGGAUUAGAUACCCCUGUAGUCCCUGUCUCUUAUAC